Molecule: ribosomal RNA, 254 nt
Filed under: uncultured bacterium
Lineage: Bacteria
Description: partial 16S ribosomal RNA
Rfam family: Bacterial small subunit ribosomal RNA
Source: RNAcentral
CACGUAGGGUGCGAGCGUUGUCCGGAAUUAUUGGGCGUAAAGAGCUCGUAGGCGGUGUGUCGCGUCGGCCGUGAAAACCUGCAGCUCAACUGUGGGCUUGCGGUCGAUACGGGCAUCACUGGAGUUCGGCAGGGGAGACUGGAAUUCCUGGUGUAGCGGUGAAAUGCGCAGAUAUCUGGAGGAACACCAGUGGCGAAGGCGGCAUCCUGGACCGGCAUUGACGCUGAGGCGCGAAAGCUAGGGUAGCAAACGGG